ACUCCUACGGGAGGCAGCAGUGGGGAAUAUUGCACAAUGGGCGCAAGCCUGAUGCAGCCAUGCCGCGUGUAUGAAGAAGGCCUUCGGGUUGUAAAGUACUUUCAGCAGUGAGGAAGGUGGGUAUGUUAAUAGCAUAUUCAUUUGACGUUAGCUGCAGAAGAAGCACCGGCUAACUCCGUGCCAGCAGCCGCGGUAAUACGGAGGGUGCGAGCGUUAAUCGGAAUUACUGGGCGUAAAGCGCAUGCAGGUGGUUUGUUAAGUCAGAUGUGAAAGCCCGGGGCUCAACCUCGGAAUUGCAUUUGAAACUGGCAAACUAGAGUACUGUANAGGGGGGUAGAAUUUCAGGUGUAGCGGUGAAAUGCGUAGAGAUCUGAAGGAAUACCGGUGGCGAAGGCGGCCCCCUGGACAGAUACUGACACUCAGAUGCGAAAGCUGGGGAGCAAACAGGAUUAGAUACCCUGGUAGGCGU
Molecule: ribosomal RNA, 469 nt
Filed under: uncultured bacterium
Lineage: Bacteria
Description: bacterial SSU rRNA
Rfam family: Bacterial small subunit ribosomal RNA
Source: RNAcentral